CCUACGGGUGGCAGCAGUGGGGGAUAUUGGACAAUGGGGGGAACCCUGAUCCAGCGACGCCGCGUGAGUGAAGAAGGAUUUCGGUAUGUAAAGCUCUGUCAGCAGGGGAGAAAGCAAUGACAGUACCUGACCACGAAGCCGCAGCUAACUACGUGCCAGCAGCCGCGGUAAUGCGGAGGGGGCAAGUGUUAUCCGGAAUUACUGGGUGAAAAGGGAUCGUAGACGGGUGUGCAAGUCUGGAGUGAAAGGCGGGGGCCCAACCCCCGGACUGCUCUGGAAACUGUAGGGCUGGAGUGGAGGAGAGGUAAGCGGAAUUCGUAGUGUAGCGGUGAAAUGCGUAGAUAUUAGGAGGAACACCAAUGGCGAAGGCGGCCUACUGGACUGUAACUGACGUUGAGGCUCGAAAGCGUGGGGAGCAAACAGGAUUAGAUACCCUUGUAGUC
Molecule: ribosomal RNA, 443 nt
Filed under: uncultured bacterium
Lineage: Bacteria
Description: partial 16S ribosomal RNA
Rfam family: Bacterial small subunit ribosomal RNA
Source: RNAcentral